CAAGUCCACCGUGGGCUUUGAAAAACGCUUUCCUUGAUAAAAUUUAAGCGUUUUAUAAGAGGAUGCCGGGGAAGGUUUUCCGGUUUAUCCCGGAGGGCUUGUAGCUCAGUUGGUUAGAGCGCGCGCUUGAUAAGCGUGAGGUCGGAGGUUCAAGUCCUCCCAGGCCCACCAGUUUAUCCAUUACUUUCAUAAGUGCUUUUAAAAAAUAAGUACUUCUAAAAAGAUUGCUUCUAAAAAGCUUAUCAAAAUUGGCAGGCUUAUUGCUUUUGUGUGAGUAAUCCAAAGUUAAAGCAAAUUAAUGGCAAAAAAACAGUUCAAAUGCUAAAUACUAAGGAGUCAAAAUUCCUUGCAAAGUGAUUUUUACAGCGUCCAUUUGGUUGAUAUAAAUUCCAAAUGCUCAUAGACGUCAAUGCCUAUAUGAAACUAUCGGUUCAAUCAUAUCGCUUUGAGUUAUAUAGAUUUUGUAAUCCCUCUUUUGAUCGUUUUAAACGCUUUAUCCUGAUUUAGGGGCCGUAGCUCAGCUGGGAGAGCACCUGCUUUGCAAGCAGGGGGUCGUCGGUUCGAUCCCGUCCGGCUCCACCAUAAGGUCAUCAUCAUUGUUGUAAGAACAGUUUUGUAAAAGGUUUGCGAACCUUUUGCUUGUUCUAUUGAAAUUGUGAAGAGAAGAUAUAUUCAGACAUGUUCCUUUUGAAAGGUUUGUUCUGGAAGGUGAGGUUUUUCUGUGCAGAAAUGUUUCAGAAAAAGCUUUGUCAUCAGAAAGGGCUAUUGUCUAACAGCUUAGAUAAAAAACAAAUCUGAAAAAGAAAUCUUGUGUCGCAAGGGAAAGCUCAAAGCCCUUGCUUAUGAUUGG
This 850-nucleotide transfer RNA is filed under the name uncultured Bartonella sp. RNAcentral's name for it is "partial 16S-23S ribosomal RNA intergenic spacer". The stretch from base 95 to 168 matches the Rfam family "tRNA". The record is from RNAcentral. Lineage: Bacteria; Pseudomonadati; Pseudomonadota; Alphaproteobacteria; Hyphomicrobiales; Bartonellaceae.